UACGGGGGGGGCAAGCGUUAUUCGGAAUUAUUGGGCGUAAAGGGCGCGUAGGCGGCGAUUCAAGUGACGGGUGAAAUCCCUCGGCUUAACCGAGGAACUGCCUGUCAGACUGGAUUGCUUGAGGCCGGGAGAGGCGAGUGGAAUUCCCAGUGUAGCGGUGAAAUGCGUAGAUAUUGGGAGGAACACCAGUGGCGAAGGCGGCUCGCUGGACCGGUUCUGACGCUGAGGCGCGAAAGCGUGGGGAGCAAACAGG
RNAcentral lists this ribosomal RNA (253 nucleotides) under uncultured bacterium. RNAcentral describes it as "partial 16S ribosomal RNA". It matches the Rfam family "Bacterial small subunit ribosomal RNA", at positions 524 to 776 of the family's 1533-position model. The record is from RNAcentral.